UUUGUGAAAAUAGAACAUCUU
Molecule: non-coding RNA, 21 nt
Filed under: Caenorhabditis elegans
Lineage: Eukaryota; Metazoa; Nematoda; Chromadorea; Rhabditida; Rhabditidae
Source: RNAcentral